UAUUAUUGAAUAUGUAAAUGUAUGAUAGUAAAUCAGAGUAGUAAUAGUUAUGAUCUUGAAACUCAAAGAAUUUGGCGGUGUUUUAGUCCUUUCAGAGGAAUCUGUUCUGUAAUUGAUAAUACACGAUUUAUUUGACUUGGUCUUGUUUUCAGUUUAUAUACCGCCGUCGGUAAGAUUAUCUUGAAGAGGGUAUUAAAUUUCAUCAUAUUUUAUUAUAUAUUAUGUCAGGUCAAGGUGUAGCUGAUGAUUAAGUAGAAAUGGAUUACAAUAAAAUUAUUUAAAUAGAUAGUGAUUUGAAAAUUUAUUUGAAAAUGGAUUUGAUUGUAAWUGAGUAUAAAUUGAUUCAUUGAYUUGGGCUCYANAMUGUGUACAUAUCGCCCGUCGCUCUCGUUUUAAGAUGAG
Molecule: ribosomal RNA, 402 nt
Filed under: Velarifictorus sp. India
Lineage: Eukaryota; Metazoa; Arthropoda; Insecta; Orthoptera; Gryllidae
Description: partial 12S ribosomal RNA
Source: RNAcentral